UACGAAGGGGGCUAGCGUUGCUCGGAAUUACUGGGCGUAAAGGGCGCGUAGGCGGACAGUUUAGUCAGAGGUGAAAGCCCAGGGCUCAACCUUGGAAUUGCCUUUGAUACUGGCUGUCUUGAGUUCGGGAGAGGUGAGUGGAAUGCCGAGUGUAGAGGUGAAAUUCGUAGAUAUUCGGCGGAACACCAGUGGCGAAGGCGACUCACUGGCCCGAUACUUACGCUGAGGCGCGAAAGCGUGGGGAGCAAACAGG
This 253-nucleotide ribosomal RNA is filed under the name uncultured bacterium. RNAcentral's name for it is "partial 16S ribosomal RNA". It matches the Rfam family "Bacterial small subunit ribosomal RNA", at positions 524 to 776 of the family's 1533-position model. The record is from RNAcentral.